UUAAUAGUAUUUUUUUUUUACUUUUUCAUAUAUGUUACAUUUUCAGUAUUGAAGUCUAAAAAAAUUCAGAACCUCUCAUAAGUUCUUAAAUUUAAAAUUUUUUCUCAUCCUCCUACUGCAUUGGCAAAGUACUGUUACCAGUGUCUAGGACUGUAUUUUGUAUCCCGUAUAUUUAUGCUAGACUGUAUACUCCAGGAAUAUUUUUGGGAAAU
Molecule: long non-coding RNA, 212 nt
Filed under: Homo sapiens (human)
Lineage: Eukaryota; Metazoa; Chordata; Mammalia; Primates; Hominidae
Description: HSALNT0148742
Source: RNAcentral